UACGUGGGGGGCAAGCGUUGUUCGGAAUUAUUGGGCGUAAAGCGCGCGUAGGCGGCUUUUCAAGUCGUUUGUGAAAUCCCCGGGCUUAACCUGGGAACUGCAGUCGAGACUGUCUAGCUAGAGUAUGGGAGAGGGAAGUGGAAUUUCAGGUGUAGCGGUGAAAUGCGUAGAUAUCUGAAGGAACAUCAGUGGCGAAAGCGACUGCCUGGACCAAUACUGACGCUCAUGUGCGAAAGCGUGGGGAGCAAACAGG
Molecule: ribosomal RNA, 253 nt
Filed under: uncultured bacterium
Lineage: Bacteria
Description: partial 16S ribosomal RNA
Rfam family: Bacterial small subunit ribosomal RNA
Source: RNAcentral